RNAcentral lists this transfer RNA (72 nucleotides) under Dipodomys ordii (Ord's kangaroo rat). It matches the Rfam family "tRNA". Rfam says of the family: Transfer RNA (tRNA) molecules are approximately 80 nucleotides in length. Their secondary structure includes four short double-helical elements and three loops (D, anti-codon, and T loops). Lineage: Eukaryota; Metazoa; Chordata; Mammalia; Rodentia; Heteromyidae. The record is from Rfam by way of RNAcentral.
UUGGGGCUGGCUCAGUGGUAGAGUGCUUGCCUUGCAUGCAUGAGGCCCUGGGUUCGAUUCCUCAGCACCACA